AACGAACGCUGGCGGCGUGGAUAAGACAUGCAAGUCGAACGGGGACAACAGUCUGUAGCAAUACAGGUGUUGUUUAGUGGCGAACGGGUGCGUAACACGUGGGCAAUCUGCCGAGAAGUGGGGGAUAGCUCGCCGAAAGGCGAAUUAAUACCGCAUAUGAUCAGUGAAGACAUCUUCACGACAUCAAAGCCGGGGCAACCUGGCGCUUCUUGGAUGAGCCCGCGGCCUAUCAGCUAGUUGGUGAGGUAACGGCUCACCAAGGCUAUGACGGGUAGCUGGGUCU
Molecule: ribosomal RNA, 283 nt
Filed under: uncultured bacterium
Lineage: Bacteria
Description: partial 16S ribosomal RNA
Rfam family: Bacterial small subunit ribosomal RNA
Source: RNAcentral